CAGUACUUUAAAGAAGACUUGAAGGUGUGAGGUGAAGCUACAGCAGUGCACCUGCUAGAAGCUUCUAGCAGCUUCCAGGAAUUAUCAGAUCUUAGAGCCAAGUUUACUGAGGAAUAUAUCUUGUCAGUGUUCCAGAUUUCAAUCCCAACAACGUUAGAUUUGAUCUGCUUUUUCUUCAGU
Molecule: non-coding RNA, 180 nt
Organism: Python bivittatus (Burmese python)
Lineage: Eukaryota; Metazoa; Chordata; Lepidosauria; Squamata; Pythonidae
Source: RefSeq, a predicted model, not a curated record